GCCCGCACCCGCACCUGACCCCCGCGGGCUGCUCCGGGCACUGGGGCUGGACUCACCUGGGACAGGUAACCUUCAUCAUCCUCAUCAUCCUCAUCAUCCUCAUCAUCAUCAUCCUCAUCAUCCUCAUCAUCCUCAUCAUCCUCAUCAUCCUCAUCAUCCUCAUCAUCCUGCUCCAUCAUCCUCAUCCUCAUCAUCCUCAUCAUCCUCAUCAUCCUCAUCAUCCUCAUCCUGCUCCAUCAUCCUCAUCAUCCUCAUCAUCCUCAUCCUCAUCAUCAUCCUCUUCCUGCUCCUUCCUCUUCCUCCUGCCCGCACCCGCACCUGACCCCCGCGGGCUGCUCCGGGCACUGGGGCUGGACUCACCUGGGACAGGUAACCUUCAUCAUCCUCAUCAUCCUCAUCAUCCUCAUCCUCAUCAUCCUCAUCAUCCUCAUCAUCCUCAUCCUCAUCAUCAUCCUCAUCAUCCUCAUCAUCCUCAUCCUGCUCCAUCCUCAUCAUCCUCAUCCUGCUCCAUCAUCCUGCCCCAUCAUCCUCAUCAUCAUCAUCCUGCGUCCUCAUCAUCCUCAUCAUCCUCAUCAUCCUCAUCAUCCUCAUCAUCCUCAUCAUCCUCAUCAUCCUCAUCAUCAUCAUCAUCCUCAUCCUGCUCCAUCAUCCUCAUCAUCCUCAUCAUCCUCAUCAUCCUGCUCCGUCAUCCUCAUCCUCAUCAUCAUCAUCAUCCUCAUCAUCUUCAUCAUCCUCAUCAUCAUCAUCCUCUUCCUGCUCCUUCCUCUUCCUCCUGCCCGCACCCCAGCCCGACCCCCGCGGGCUGCUCCGGGCACUGGGGCUGGACUCACCUGGAACAGGCCGUGUCCCGGAGCUCCCGGAGGGGACGGACACCAGGGACAUCGGUGACAUCACUGGUGACAUCACCGCUGACAUCACCGCUGACAUCAUCGGUGACAUCACCGGGGACAUCCAGGCUCACCUGGACUCGCUGCAGCUCCAGGACAGCGCCGGGGCCCCGCCCACAGCCCCCGAGCCCCGCCCACCCUCACCUGAGCAGGUACGGGGUGGGGAGGGGGUCCUGAUCCUGAUCCUGAUCCCGAUCCCUGAUCCCCGAUCCCUGAUUCCUGAUCCCAAUCCCUGAUCCCAAUCCCUGAUCCCAAUCCCGAUUCCUGAUCCCUGAUCCCAAUCCCAAUCCCUGAUCCCGAUCCCGAUCCUUGAUCCCAAUCCCUGAUCCCAAUCCCUGAUCCCGAUCCCUGAUCCUGAUCCUGAUCCCGAUCCCUGAUCAUCCCGAUCCCAGUGUUCCAUUGUGGAUACUGCCCACCCCUCCCGAGCAGGUACGGGGUGGGGAGGGGCUCCUGGUCCUGAUUCCUGAUCCUGAUCCCUAAUCCCCGAUCCCGAUCCUGAUCCCUGAUCCUGAUCCCUGAUCCUCAUCCCUCAUCCCUGAUCCUGAUCCAAAUCCUUGAUCCCUUAUCCCAAUCUCUGAUCCCAAUCCCUGAUCCUGAUCCAGAGCUGGCCGUGUCCCUGGUGCACGUUCCGGAACAUU
RNAcentral lists this long non-coding RNA (1525 nucleotides) under Cyanistes caeruleus (blue tit). RNAcentral describes it as "lncRNA (ENSCCEG00000015412.1)". The record is from RNAcentral. Lineage: Eukaryota; Metazoa; Chordata; Aves; Passeriformes; Paridae.